AUUGAACGCUGGCGGCAGGCCUAACACAUGCAAGUCGAACGAGCGGCGGACGGGUGAGUAAUGUCUGGGAAACUGCCCGAUGGAGGGGGAUAACUACUGGAAACGGUAGCUAAUACCGCAUACCAUCGGAUGUGCCCAGCUGGGAUUAGCUAGUAGGUGGGGUAAAGGCUCACCUAGGCGACGAUCCCUAGCUGGUCUGAGAGGAUGACCAGCCACACUGGAACGGAGACACGGUCCAGACUCCGACGGGAGGCAGCAGUGGGGAAUAUUGCACAAUGGGCGCAAGCCUGAUGCAGCCAUGCCGCGUGUGUGAAGAAGGCCUUCGGGUUGUAAAGCACUUUCAGCGGGGAGGCGUUACCCGCAGAAGAAGCACCGGCUAACUCCGUGCCAGCAGCCGCGGUAAUAC
RNAcentral lists this ribosomal RNA (406 nucleotides) under uncultured bacterium. RNAcentral's name for it is "partial 16S ribosomal RNA". It matches the Rfam family "Bacterial small subunit ribosomal RNA", at positions 29 to 526 of the family's 1533-position model. The record is from RNAcentral.